UCCGAUUCUCUUCAAGAUAUCAUAGUAGAAUGUCUUUGGAGCAAAACUCAGAAUCACUCUCUUCUCUGCUAAUGAAGCAAGGUGUGCGAUCAUUCCGUCUGCUUUGUUCUGAGGGUAAUGUAUCAGCACGUCCAGGCAUACGACUGUAUUGUACUUCCCACUUAGACUCUCUAAAUCAUUCACUUCAAAUCUUGGUAAAUUCUCUGAUGGUAGUUGCUGCUUUGCCUGUGCAUAUACAAAAAUUUGUCACAAAUUGGGUUAUAACAAGCACAAGGUUUCAGAUUCGAGAAUGUAGUUACUCAGGAAUUCUAUUUCAGAUCAUCUUGAUAUGAAAAUGUCUGUCUAGCUUGCCAAGAGAAGAAUCCAGCAUCAAGCAGAGGAACUUAGCAGCCAAACCCAGCAAUCACAGAGACGAAAGCUUACCUUCAUCUGAGCUUCGGCAACCAUAGCUGCAGAGAUAUCGCUAGCAGAGACGAUCGCACCUUCCUUAGCAAGUGGAAUGGAGAGAGAUCCGGUUCCGCAUCCGGCGUCGCAGACCGUGACGCCGGCCAAGGAUCCUUCCUCCGUCAGCAUAAGCAUCGCGUUCUCCACGGUUUUGGCGUGUCCGAUUCGAAUAUCCUUCUGCACGCGAUUCACUUCGUCAGU
RNAcentral lists this long non-coding RNA (645 nucleotides) under Eutrema salsugineum. Its description in RNAcentral is "long non-coding RNA (ESAL_LNC002071)". The record is from RNAcentral. Lineage: Eukaryota; Viridiplantae; Streptophyta; Magnoliopsida; Brassicales; Brassicaceae.